UGGGGAAUAUUGGGCAAUGGGCGCAAGCCUGACCCAGCAACGCCGCGUGAAGGAAGAAGGCUUUCGGGUUGUAAACUUCUUUUGUCGGGGACGAAACAAAUGACGGUACCCGACGAAUAAGCCACGGCUAACUACGUGCCAGCAGCCGCGGUAAUACGUAGGUGGCAAGCGUUAUCCGGAUUUACUGGGUGUAAAGGGCGUGUAGGCGGGAUUGCAAGUCAGAUGUGAAAACUGGGGGCUCAACCUCCAGCCUGCAUUUGAAACUGUAGUUCUUGAGUGCUGGAGAGGCAAUCGGAAUUCCGUGUGUAGCGGUGAAAUGCGUAGAUAUACGGAGGAACACCAGUGGCGAAGGCGGAUUGCUGGACAGUAACUGACACUGAGGCGCGAAAGCGUGGGGAGCAAACAGG
Molecule: ribosomal RNA, 407 nt
Filed under: Acidobacteriota bacterium
Lineage: Bacteria; Pseudomonadati; Acidobacteriota
Description: Acidobacteria bacterium partial 16S ribosomal RNA
Rfam family: Bacterial small subunit ribosomal RNA
Source: RNAcentral